GAUAACCUCUGGCGGCGUGCUUAACACAUGCAAGUCGAACGAAGUUUUUCUUUCGGGAGGAACUUAGUGGCGGACGGGUGAGUAACGCGUGGGUAACCUGCCCUGUACAGGGGGACAACAGCUGGAAACGGCUGCUAAUACCGCAUAAGCCCUUAGCACUGCAUGGUGUAUAGGGAAAAGGAGCAAUCCGGUACAGGAUGGGCCCGCGUCUGAUUAGCCAGUUGGCAGGGUAACGGCCUACCAAAGCGACGAUCAGUAGCCGAUCUGAGAGGAUGUACGGCCACAUUGGGACUGAAACACGGCCCAUACUCCUACGGGAGGCAGCAGUGGGGAAUAUUGCACCAUGGAAGAAACUCUGAUGCAUCCACCCCGCCCGAGAGAAAAAAUAUUUCGGUGUGUAAAGCUCUAUCAGCAGGGAAGAAAAUGACGGUACCUGAUUAAGAAGCACCGGCUAAAUACGUGCCAGCAGCCGCGGUAAUACGUAUGGUGCAAGCGUUAUCCGGAUUUACUGGGUGUAAAGGGAGCGUAGGUGGCAAGGCAAGCCAGAAGUGAAAACCCGGGGCUCAACCGCGGGAUUGCUUUUGGAACUGUCAUGCUAGAGUGCAGGAGGGGUGAGCGGAAUUCCUAGUGUAGCGGUGAAAUGCGUAGAUAUUAGGAGGAACACCGGAGGCGAAGGCGGCUCACUGGACUGUAACUGACACUGAGGCUCGAAAGCGUGGGGAGCAAACAGGAGUAGAUACCCUGGUAGUCCACGCGGUAAA
This 761-nucleotide ribosomal RNA is filed under the name uncultured bacterium. Its description in RNAcentral is "bacterial SSU rRNA". It matches the Rfam family "Bacterial small subunit ribosomal RNA", at positions 28 to 806 of the family's 1533-position model. The record is from RNAcentral.